UGUUAGAAACCACUUAUUGUG
Molecule: non-coding RNA, 21 nt
Organism: Caenorhabditis elegans
Lineage: Eukaryota; Metazoa; Nematoda; Chromadorea; Rhabditida; Rhabditidae
Source: Ensembl